GUAGGUCAUCGCAACCCCAUUAGCUGCUUGCUAGCCGGCACUCGACUCGUCUACAAAAAAGACGCGAGAGAUGACAGUAAGUUGUUUCCUCUCGUCUGACUCUCUUGUCAUUGACUUGUUUGGUUAUGCACAGUGCAUUU
Molecule: non-coding RNA, 140 nt
Organism: Caenorhabditis elegans
Lineage: Eukaryota; Metazoa; Nematoda; Chromadorea; Rhabditida; Rhabditidae
Source: Ensembl